UACGGAGGGUGCAAGCGUUGUUCGGAAUUAUUGGGCGUAAAGCGCGUGUAGGCGGUCAUCUAAGUCUGGUGUGAAAUCCUGGGGCUCAACCCCAGAAGUGCACUGGAUACUGGACGACUAGAGGACGAGAGAGGAAAGUGGAAUUCCUGGUGUAGGGGUGAAAUCCGUAGAUAUCAGGAGGAACAUCAGCUGCGAAGGCGGCUUUCUGGCUCGUUUCUGACGCUGAGACGCGAAAGCGUGGGGAGCAAACAGG
RNAcentral lists this ribosomal RNA (253 nucleotides) under uncultured bacterium. RNAcentral's name for it is "partial 16S ribosomal RNA". It matches the Rfam family "Bacterial small subunit ribosomal RNA", at positions 524 to 776 of the family's 1533-position model. The record is from RNAcentral.